RNAcentral lists this small RNA (125 nucleotides) under Marmota monax (woodchuck). Lineage: Eukaryota; Metazoa; Chordata; Mammalia; Rodentia; Sciuridae. The record is from RNAcentral.
GCCAGGCAUGGUGGCUUGUGCUUGUAAUCCACAUGGCUUGGGAGGCUGAGGCAGGAGGAUCUUGAUUUCAAAGCCAGCCUCAGCAAAAGCAAGGUACUAAGCAAUUCAGUGAGACCCUGUCUCUA